Molecule: ribosomal RNA, 253 nt
Filed under: uncultured bacterium
Lineage: Bacteria
Description: partial 16S ribosomal RNA
Rfam family: Bacterial small subunit ribosomal RNA
Source: RNAcentral
GACGUAGGGCGCGAGCGUUGUCCGGAUUUAUUGGGCGUAAAGAGCUCGUAGGCGGCUCAUUGCGUCAACCGUGAAAACCUGCCGCUCAACGGUAGGCUUGCGGUUGAUACGGGUGGGCUGGAGUUCGGUAGGGGAGACUGGAAUUCCUGGUGUAGCGGUGAAAUGCGCAGAUAUCAGGAGGAACACCGAUGGCGAAGGCAGGUCUCUGGGCAUUAACUGACGCUGAGGAGCGAAAGCAUGGGGAGCGAACAGG